This 1341-nucleotide ribosomal RNA is filed under the name Bacillus sp. (in: firmicutes). RNAcentral's name for it is "bacterial SSU rRNA". It matches the Rfam family "Bacterial small subunit ribosomal RNA", at positions 51 to 1378 of the family's 1533-position model. The record is from RNAcentral. Lineage: Bacteria; Bacillati; Bacillota; Bacilli; Caryophanales; Bacillaceae.
AUACAUGCAAGUCGAGCGGACCGACGGGAGCUUGCUCCCUUAGGUCAGCGGCGGACGGGUGAGUAACACGUGGGUAACCUGCCUGUAAGACUGGGAUAACUCCGGGAAACCGGGGCUAAUACCGGAUGCUUGAUUGAACCGCAUGGUUCAAUCAUAAAAGGUGGCUUUUAGCUACCACUUACAGAUGGACCCGCGGCGCAUUAGCUAGUUGGUGAGGUAACGGCUCACCAAGGCGACGAUGCGUAGCCGACCUGAGAGGGUGAUCGGCCACACUGGGACUGAGACACGGCCCAGACUCCUACGGGAGGCAGCAGUAGGGAAUCUUCCGCAAUGGACGAAAGUCUGACGGAGCAACGCCGCGUGAGUGAUGAAGGUUUUCGGAUCGUAAAACUCUGUUGUUAGGGAAGAACAAGUACCGUUCGAAUAGGGCGGUACCUUGACGGUACCUAACCAGAAAGCCACGGCUAACUACGUGCCAGCAGCCGCGGUAAUACGUAGGUGGCAAGCGUUGUCCGGAAUUAUUGGGCGUAAAGCGCGCGCAGGCGGUUUCUUAAGUCUGAUGUGAAAGCCCCCGGCUCAACCGGGGAGGGUCAUUGGAAACUGGGGAACUUGAGUGCAGAAAAGGAGAGUGGAAUUCCACGUGUAGCGGUGAAAUGCGUAGAGAUGUGGAGGAACACCAGUGGCGAAGGCGACUCUCUGGUCUGUAACUGACGCUGAGGCGCGAAAGCGUGGGGAGCGAACAGGAUUAGAUACCCUGGUAGUCCACGCCGUAAACGAUGAGUGCUAAGUGUUAGAGGGUUUCCGCCCUUUAGUGCUGCAGCAAACGCAUUAAGCACUCCGCCUGGGGAGUACGGUCGCAAGACUGAAACUCAAAGGAAUUGACGGGGGCCCGCACAAGCGGUGGAGCAUGUGGUUUAAUUCGAAGCAACGCGAAGAACCUUACCAGGUCUUGACAUCCUCUGACAACCCUAGAGAUAGGGCUUCCCCUUCGGGGGCAGAGUGACAGGUGGUGCAUGGUUGUCGUCAGCUCGUGUCGUGAGAUGUUGGGUUAAGUCCCGCAACGAGCGCAACCCUUGAUCUUAGUUGCCAGCAUUCAGUUGGGCACUCUAAGGUGACUGCCGGUGACAAACCGGAGGAAGGUGGGGAUGACGUCAAAUCAUCAUGCCCCUUAUGACCUGGGCUACACACGUGCUACAAUGGGCAGAACAAAGGGCAGCGAACCCGCGAGGCUAAGCCAAUCCCACAAAUCUGUUCUCAGUUCGGAUCGCAGUUUGCAACUCCACGGCUGGAAACUGAAACCCUUAAUUCCGGAAAAAAGGCCGCCGGGAAAAAUUUCCCGGC